AAAACCAUGUGGAAUUGCUUGCUAAAUCUAUUAAGAAACAAGAUGAAAUCAAAUCAAAUUGUAAAAGAAGUUGGCUGAACGCAUCGAAGAAUAGGAAAAGAGAAAGGAAUAACAAGAGAAAACGAGAAAAGCAAACAUUAAGAAAAAGAAAACUGAAAAGAAAGAACAUAAACCGAAUGAACACCUCACACUUAACAGGGAAAAAGCUGGAAUUGUCUGAUAGGACAACGAAAAUCAAACUUAAACGGAAGUUAGAGGGAAUGAACAAGAAAUUAAAAAGGAAAAGUAAGAAGAAAAGGUCCUGAAUUGCCAAACAUGCUUGAGCCACCAAGGCAGCUUCUGUGUCAUCAACCUCUGGUCUUUCAGAGUUUGUUAAAACAGAAAUUCCUAAACCAAGACUAGCAAGUACACUGCCAACACCAAUUUUUAACAGUGAAGGCUGCCUAGUUUCCAGCAAAUGCGAUUUUGGAGAACUAUCUAAUUCCUCACCCAUUCUGAAAAAGACCACUUUAUAUCCAGAAGUGGCAACGAUUAAAAUGAAAGAAAAUAAAACUUAAACCAAAAAUGAAAAUCUUGGUAGGCCAAGCUGAAGUUCAAAUGCAAGAAGUAUUGAAGAGAAACAGGCAUGAAAUGGUGCUCUGCAAAUAGCUGAAGGUUUUCAGGUAAAAGACUAUGUGGAAUUGCUUGCCAAAUCAAUUAAUGAACGAGAUCAAAUCAGAAAGUAACAUAAAUUGCGCUGAACGAAACGAAGAAAAGGAAAAGAGAAAACAAUAACUACAGAAAAAAAGACAAACCAACAUUAAGAAAAAUUAAACUGAAAAGAAAGAACAUUAAGUGAAUAAACCAAAGAAAAACAGGCAAAUUUAUCGUAUGAAAUAAUGAUACUGUCUCAUGGACGAGCUAAACUCGUGUUCUUUCAUGUGCAAGCCAUGUCGUGAUAGUUUUUUUAACAAUACACUAGCAUGCUUUCCAUGACCGUGGAAAAUUUAA
Molecule: long non-coding RNA, 990 nt
Organism: Daphnia carinata
Lineage: Eukaryota; Metazoa; Arthropoda; Branchiopoda; Diplostraca; Daphniidae
Exons: 3
Source: RefSeq, a predicted model, not a curated record